UAUGUGGUGAAGUUGCAGGCAUCAGCAGGUCCUUAAUAUCCAAAAUUCAGUGUUCUUAGUGUUUUCACAGUUUCCAGCUUCACUUUGCUCGGGGUUGCUGCUUCCCUCCUUCCUUUUGGUUUCUCCUUGUCUCGUGUUCGGGUUACGGUCUAAAGACCGUAACACAGUAACAGGAGUUCACAAGGGUUUACGAAAUGCCACGAAAUAAGACAGGCGUCAAAAGGUCAAGGCCAGAUGCAGAGCGAAUGAACAAAGCAGUGGAAGCUGUUCUUUCAACUGACCCCGAGAAACAUUUGUCUUAUAAAGAGGCUGCUACUGUUCAUGGCGUCAAGCAAACUGCGAUGUUUCGUCAUGUUGCUGCGUUCAAGAAAUCAGGAAAGGAAAAGCUCAGCUACGUGAAUAAAUGAAAUACAAAGCAGGAAGUUUGGUACAUUGAGAAAAUAGCGGGCGCAAAGUGUCAUGAGUUGGAUGCCAAUCCGAGUAAUUGGCGUUCAGAAGAGAACGAAAAUCAAUGUCGCUAUCCUCCUGCGAUGACUGAAUAUAGGGCCAAGAGGAGACUUUUAUCUAAAGAUUGAGAAGUCAUGAAUAUAUCGACUACUUCAAAACCAUAUAUGACUGAGCAACAGAACUCAAGGAAACCGCCAUUGCGGACCACCAUUUCAAAAAUCUUUGAAAAUAACCAAUGCGAGAUCCUCGACCAUCCUUUGCGGCCACCGUUCGAAAAGUGUGCGAAUGGACACUAUGUUUGCGGAUCAUGUCGUCAACAGCUGACGAAUAACGAAUGUCCUUACUGUAGAGUACCAUUGACAACGGUUAUAAAGGAUCGUAUUUUGGACGAAAUUUUCUUUGCUGUCCAUCCGACUUUUGGUUCAGAUGCCCCAGAACCACCAUUAGGCCGGGGGGCCAACCGGUCAUUGAAUGCAACCGCUGGACCCUCAAGACUGCCAAGGGGCAGGGGAUAUCUCCUCUCCCAGUUAGGAAUAGACUCUUCCCCACCACUGCCAGGUCGGAGGAGGCAAUUAGGCCAAUCUCCAAAUCUCCAAAGGACCAUUGGGAGAACUUUGAUCGAGACAGCGUUCGAAGAGUCGCUUUGGGAUACAUUGGACGUUGACGACGCCGGGAAUUUAUUUGCACGAGUUCCAGUGCUGGGCAUACUCGGGUCCGACAUCCUGUCUCACGGGCAUGAAUAUGCGGCAAGUUGA
This 1202-nucleotide long non-coding RNA is filed under the name Bemisia tabaci. Its description in RNAcentral is "lncRNA ENSSSA3NGG014351". Lineage: Eukaryota; Metazoa; Arthropoda; Insecta; Hemiptera; Aleyrodidae. The record is from RNAcentral.